This 9267-nucleotide long non-coding RNA is filed under the name Phoenix dactylifera (date palm). RNAcentral describes it as "long non-coding RNA (PDAC_LNC001353)". Lineage: Eukaryota; Viridiplantae; Streptophyta; Magnoliopsida; Arecales; Arecaceae. The record is from RNAcentral.
GAGCAGUCUUCAAGUGCAUUCAAGAGCUCUACCAACUCCUUGAGGAGUGAAGCAACAUUGGCAAAGAAGAGAAGAGCAAUCUACAAAGCGAUAAAUAUUUUCUUACCUCUUCUUUAAGUACAUUAUUGUAUUACUUGCUCAUUUAGGAGUUUUAAACUUCUUCUUUACUUGUUUUUUGUAAGAUUUGUUGGUGAGCCCAAAAAAUCAAUGGUGUAGGUUGUUGGUGAGCCCGUAAAACCAAUGGUUAGGUUAUUGGUGAUCUCGUAAAACCAAUUGUAGGGUUUUUGGAUUGUGAGCCUGGUAAAACAAUCCAACUGUAAUCCGCGGGAUUAUAGUAAAUUACCAAGGGGAUGCUUGAGGAGUAGACGUAGGUGCUUUGGAGAGCACCGAACCACUAUACUUCUUGUGUGUUUGCAUUGUGUUCUUUUUGAUUCCACUGCACCUAUAUAAUUGACACAAGCUAAACUACUCAUACAUCUAUCAUCUAAAUUAAGGUCCUAAAAAUUUGGAAAACCCAAUUCGCCCCCCCUCUUGGGUUGUUAUCUUAGGCAACAAGUGGUAUCAAAGCAGGUGCUCUUGUAUUAAUUGUUGAUCAACAAUUAAGAGCUAAAAAUCAUGACAACUCAUAUAGGUAGCUCUCUAUCUGAGGGACAAUCAACAAAUAGACCACCCCUAUUUAAUGACACUAAUUACACGUAUUGGAAAGCACGAAUGAGGAUAUUUAUACAAGCAUUAGACUAUGACAUAUGCGGAAUCAUAGUCGAAGGACCAUACCCACCCACCAUUAGCUUAGAUGGCAUGGUCAUCCCUAAGCCACAAAAGGAAUGGGAUGAUAAUGAUAAGAGGAUGGCUCAACUUAAUGCCAAAGCCAUGAAUGUCCUCUAUUGCUCACUAGAUGCAAAUGAAUUUAACAGAAUAUCAACAUGUAAUUCAGCUAAGGAAAUUUGGGAUAGAUUAGAGGUUGCACAUGAGGGUACAAACCAAGUUAAGAAAUCUAAGAUAAACAUGCUAGUACACAAAUGCGAAUUAUUUAAAAUGGAACCCUCUGAAAGUAUAACUGAAAUGUUUACAAGAUUCAUCGACAUAAUCAAUGGUUCAAAAGCUUAGGCAAAUCUUAUUCUAACUCUGAAUUGGUACGCAAAAUUCUCAAGUCUCUACCGCGUAUGUAGGAGGCCAAAGUGACUGCAAUUCAAGAGGCGAAGGACCUCAAUACAUUUUAGCUAGAAGAGCUUCUAGGGUCCCUCAUGACCCAUGAGCUAACAAUGAAGCAAAACUCGAAAGAAGAAGUCAAGAAAAAGAAGACAAUUGCCUUGAAGUCCACAAUCCCUAAAGAGGACAGUGAGUCGGAUGAGUCCGAUGAUGAAGAGGGGUACGAUGAAGAGGAAGUAGCGAUGCUUGCCAAGAAGUUCAGAAAAUUCAUAAGAAAUAAGAAAGGACUUCAUAAAAGGAAGCCAUUCUCCAAAGGCAGCACUAGCAAAGAAAAGAGUAAGGAUAAAGAAAAGGAAAGGAAAGUGCCAAUCUGUUAUGAAUGCAAUAAGCCCGGGCACUUCAAAAUAGAUUGUCCACAAUUAAAAUGGAUGGCAAGGAAACUUAAGAAGAAAAUUCUCAUGGCUGAAUGGAGUGAGAGUGAGGAAUCAAGCUCAGAAGAGGAAGAUCAGCAACAUACAGCUCAAAUGUGCUUCAUGGCAAACGACGAUCAGGUAGAUGCUGAACUUGAUUGUGAUUUUACUGUAGAUGAAUUGCAUGAUGCUUUUCUAGAUCUUAUGGAAGACCACAAGAAACUUAUUCAUAAAAAUAAAACUUUAAAGAAUGAAAAUCAGACACUUAUGUAAGAUAAGCUAAAACUAUCUAAUGAUUAUGAAACAUUAAGUAAGAAGUUUACUAAUGAAACUAAAAAUCUAAUUAAUGAAAACAUUAAACUAAAAGAAGAUGUCGAAAAAUAUAAAUUCCUAGUAGAUAAAUUUACACUCAGCUCAACUAAAUUAAACAUGAUUCUUGAUAGUCAAAGAGCUGUUUAUGAUAAAGCAGGAUUAGGGUAUAAAACCAACAAAAAGCAAAAAUAUUUGAAGAAUAUGUUUGUAAAAUCCAAAAAUGAAAAUACUACUUGUUAUUGCUGUAACAAAAUAGGACAUAAAGCACAUGAAUGUGAUUUUAGGAAACUUAACUAUAACAACAAAUUAAAUAAAAAAGGCAAACCAAGAUUUAAGAAAAUCUGGGUUCCAAAAGGAACCAUAACUACUACCUUAAAGGACCCAACAUAGUUUGGGUACCUAAAAUGGAUCCUUGAUUUUGCUUGUAGGUAUGUCUUACAACUAAUGAGAAGAAUCGACUAUGGUAUCUAGAUAGUGGUUGUUCAAGACAUAUGACAGGUGAUAAUGAUCAAUUCAUCACCGUGAAAUCUAAAGAUGGUGGAGUGGUAACCUUUGGUGACAAUGGCAAAGGUCACAUUAUUAGAAAGGGUAAAAUCCGUAUCACUCUAUCUACGUUUAUAGAUGAUAUUUUAUUGGUUGAUGGUCUAAACAUAACUUGCUAAGCAUAAGUCAAUUUUGUGAUAAAGAUUUUGAAGUUUUUUUCAAAUCUUUAGCAUGUAUAAUCACUAGUCCCAAAGAUAAUAGUAUUGUACUCAUAGGACAUAGACAUGGACACAUUUACAUCGUAGACCUUGAUGAUCUAGCCAAGAAGAAUGGAUUAUGCCAAAUUGCCAAUGAGGAUAAGAUAAGUGAAACUAGUUGGCUAUGACACCGAAGAUUAGGUCACGCUAGUAUGGAAUUAAUUUCAAAAUUAGUUAAAAAGGAGUUAGUGAAAGGUUUACCAAAUUAACUUAUGAAAAGAAUAAAAUUUAUGGUGCAUAUCAAUUAGGUAAACAAACAAGGUCAUCUUUCAAAUCUAAAAACAUAGUCUCAACUACUAGGCCAUUACGGCUCAUCUACAUGGAUUUAUUUGGACCAACUAGAACUGCAAGUCUAGGAGGCAAAAAGUAUGGACUAGUAAUUGUAGAUGAUUUUUUAAGAUAUACAUGGGUGUCAUUUUUUGCACAUAAAAAUGAAACGUUUUCAGCCUUUUUGAAAUAUUACAAAAAUGUUAUAACUAAAAAGAACAUCACUUUAAUCUCAAUUCGUAGUGAUCAUGAAACCAAAUUUGAAAAUCAACACUUUUAAGAAUUUUGUAAUGAAAAUGGAAUUUUUCAUCAAUUUUCAGCUCCUAGAACCUCUCAACAAAAUGAGGUUGUUGAAAGGAAGAAUAGGGCCUUGGUAGAAAUGGCUCACACUAUACUAUGUGAGUCAAAUCUUCCAAAGUAUUUUUGAGCUGAAGCUGUAAACACCUCCUGCCAUAUCUUAAACUGUGUUUUAAUUCGUCCAAUAACCAAGAAAACUUCCUACGAACUUUGGAAAAAUAAGAAGCCAAUUGUCAAAUAUUUUUGAGUUUUUGGUUGUCGAUGUUAUAUUUUAAACAAUGGCAUGAAGAAUUUAAGUAAAUUUGAUGGUAAGUCAGAUGAGGGUAUUUUCUUAUGAUACUCUAUAUCUAGCAGGACAUACAGAGUCUUCAACAAGAGCUCUAUGGUUGUUGAAGAAUCAAUCAAUAUUAUAUUUGAUGAAACUAACGGUGAGUCCUCUAGGAAGGAAAGUAUUUUUGAUGAUGAUACAGGAACAUUCGAGCUUGAGAAAUUAAACAUUCAUGAUACACCAAAUCAUGAACAAGAGGAUACAUCAAAGGAAGGUGAGGAAGAAAAGGAAGAUGAUCAUAGUUCACCACAACAUCAGGAUCUACCUAAAGAAUGGAGGUAUGUACAUGGUCACCUCAAAGACUUAAUAAUAGGUGAUCUAUCACAAGGGUUAAGAACUCGAUCCUACCUAAGAAACAUUAAUAACUAUCUUACCUUUGUAUCUCAAAUAGAACCUAAAACUUAUGAAGAAGUGGAACAUGAUGUAAAUUGAAUCAAAGCUAUGUAAGAAGAAUUGAAUCAAUUUAAAAGAAAUAAUGUAUCAACAUUAAUUGAAAGACCUAAAAACAAAACUAUUAUUGGAACCAAAUGGAUUUUUAGAAACAAACUUGAUGAAAAUGGAAUAGUAACUAGAAACAAGGCUAAGCUAGUGGUUAAAGGUUAUAAUCAGAAAGAAAGGAUUGACUUUGAGAAAAUCUAUGCCCCAGUUGCUAGGUUAGAAGCCAUUAGAUUACUACUUACAUUUGCUUGCUAUAUAGAUUUUAAAUUAUAUCAAAUGGAUGUAAAGAGUGCCUUUCUAAAUGGUUACAUAACAGAGGAAGUAUAUGUAGAACAACCUCUUAGUUUUGAAGAUCAUGAAUUUUCCGAACAUGUAUUUAAAUUGCAUAAGGCACUUUAUGGUUUGAAACAAGCUCCUAGAGUUUGGUAUGAUAGACUAAGUAAAUUCUUGCUAGAUAAUAAAUUCAAUAGAGAAAAUGUAGAUAAAAUACUAUUCAUUAAGAGAAAGAUAAAAAUCUUCUUGCAGUGCAAAUAUAUGUAGAUGACAUAAUAUUUUGUGCUACUAACAAUUCUUUGUGCAAAGAGUUUGCUGAGUUAAUACAGGAUGAGUUCGAGAUGAGCAUGAUGGGAGAACUCAAUUUUUUCCUCGGACUCCAGAUCAUGCAAACUAAGGAAGGGAUCUUCAUUCACCAAACUAAAUAUACAAAGGAAAUCCUCAAGAAGUUUGGGAAAGAAGAUUACAAGGAAAUGGGAACUCCGAUGAAUUCUACUAGUAAGUUGGACAAAUAUGAAAAAGGUAAGAACAUAGAUACUAAACUUUAUAGAGGUAUGAUUGAAUCCUUGCUUUACCUUACUGCUAAAGAAUCACAUUUAUCUACUGUUAAAAGAAUUCUUAGGUAUCUAAGAAGUACAUCUAGCAUAGAAUUAUGGUACUCUGGAGAUUCCUAUUUUGAACUUAUUGCAUACUCAGAUGCUGACUUUGCUGGAUGCAAACUAGAUAGAAAGAGCAUUAGUGGGAUAUGUCAAUUCUUAGGUGCUAAUCUAGUCUCAUGGUUUAGCAAAAAGUAAAAUUUAGUUGCACUGUGAAUGGCUGAGGUCGAAUACAUUGCAGCUGGAAGUUCCUGUGCUCAAGUAUUAUGGCUUAAACAACAAUUAGAGGAUUAUGGAAUUAAGCUUGAUAAGAUUUUCAUAAAAUCUGAUAAGACAAGUGCAAUCAAUUUAACCAAAAAUCCAGUACAACACUCUAAAGCAAAACAUAUUGAAAUACGAUAUCACUUUAUAAAAGAUUAUGUGCAAAAUGGGAAUAUAAAUAUUGAACAUGUAUGCAUGAAAAAGCAAUUGGCUGAUAUAUUUACAAAAUCUCUUAGUGAAGAUAGAUUUUGUAUGCUUGAAGAGAAUUAGAAGUAUGUGACCCCUUUGCUUAGAGAAGGACAAAUGUUUCAUGAUACGCUCCUCUCAUCUCCUAAAUCCUAUGAAACAUUGGUCAAAUAAUUGAUUUAGAGAUUCCUCUCAUGAAUAUCCAUGACCCUUGAAAAUUUGGUAAGGAUCAGAAAAUUGAAAGAUCAAAAAAAAAAGGGUUUGAACUCGGGUCGACCCGAGAUCCCAGAGGGGUUGACCCCACGCGAGCCGAGCCAAGCAAAAGCUGGGGUUGACUCGAUGGCGGGUCCCUUAUUUUUAAGGGCCGGCCGUGAGCUAGGUUUUGGGCAUUCCACUCUUUCUAAAUCCCUAGAAACCGUAUUCCCUCUCCUCCAAUCACUUCCAAUCGCCGGUAAGAUCUAAUUCCACCCUCUCCCAAGCCGGUAGAUCAAAUCUGAAGGAAGAUUAGGUCAAGAUGGGACCCAAACGAUCGGUGGCCAAGUGAGCUAGGAGAGUAUAUGCCCAUCUACAGUUGAAGAGCAAGCUAGAGGGCCAUCUACAGUUCCUCCACGAGCUGAAUCGCGAGCAGAGCCUCCCCAACUGCCUUCCCCUUCGGUUUUGCUUGCCAGAUAUGCGGGGAGACCGGUCACGAUAGGUAGACGUAUAAACUUUGAAUUUUUGGAUCAAGAAGGUUUUAGAUUGAGUGGUUGGAUCAAGCAACAGGGAUGGAAGUACCUCUGCUCCCUAGAUCUAAAGACCUACCCGGGAUUAUUCCGUGAGUUUUAUGCUACCCUAUGGGUCGGUACGGGAGGGCUCGUGUCCGAGGUCCGUGGGGUUGAGAUUCAUGUUACUGAGGAGAGCCUAGGACAUCUACUCCAUCUCCCAUAUGAGGGUGCUAUACCAGAUAGACCAGAGGAUAGGAUUAGGGCUCUACAAAUGAUCAUGGAGAGAGAUUUGAUAGACUACUCUAAUGAUUUAGUAGCUAGUUCCUUCUCUGCUGAGAUGAGAUUGCUUCAUAACUUUAUAGGUCGGAUACUAUUUCCGAAGAGUGAGAGAUUCGACCAUGUGUCUGAGAAAGAUAUGGCAAUUAUGAAGCAUGUUAUUCAGGGCAUUCCCCUGAAUCUUCCGGCUAUGAUGAUCAGACAGAUGCGUGAGGCCGUGACUAGGGCGAGGGCUUCUUUACCCUAUGGUAUGGUACUCAUACUGAUUUUUAGACAGUAUGAUAUUUGUCUAGUUGGAGAGAUCUCCAGAGAUUUACUGCAUACCGAUACCUACACUACACGAUCACUUGUGCGCAUGGGCUACAAGAAGCUGAAUGGUCAUUAGGUGCGCGGUGGUGCAGGGCCACAGGCACCAGAGCCUGAUGUACCAGAGCCCGAAGACUCCAUUCCAGAGCCCGAGAUGCCUGCUGACCAUCCUUCAUCACAUGAAGAGGCAGGACCGUCAUCUUCUGCACCUACUGGAUACUAGAAGGAGUACUGGAGUAGGAUGACUGAGAUAGUAAUAGCUUAGGUGAUGGGUCUCUCCGAUAGGAUGAUGAGUCGGUUGGAUAGUAUUACGACUGAGAUCAGGGGAGUAUCCGCUUAGGUGACGAGCCUCAUGGACCGGAUGACUACUUUAGAUAGAGAGUAUCAUGGCCCCUCUGGAGCUCGAGCAGCUGAGUCAGAGGUCUCGACACAGAGCCAGCCAGUUCAUAGGCUCACAGACCAUCCCAGUCGUAUUAGACUAGACCUCCUCUUGCCACCUACAUUAGGAGAUCUAGAGUCAGAUCACAGCCAUUGGAUGCUUCUAGGCCUACUGAUAGCACUACAGGAGCUCAUUUAGACUAGUGCCUAGAGUCAUUCUAGUCUCUAUGUAUUUUGCCUUUUGUUGAUUGUAAACGAUAUUAUCCUUUAUGGCAUUUUGGAUUACUAGAACAUUGUAGUUUUGGCUUUUAUGAAAAACAAUGUCUUAUUUUGAAUUAUGAUCUUUGUCAUUGGCAUACUAUGCACCUUUGUAUUACAUAUUCUUUUUGAUGAUGACAAAAAUGGGAAGAAAAAUAUAAGAAAAUGUAGAAACAUAUAAGAGUGAAAUAUAUGCAAGAUACUCUAUAAGACUCUAUAAGAAAGAAAAAUAUGAAGAGUUUAUAAGGAGACAAAUAUAAGAAGAGAAAUCAAUAUUUAAGGGGGAGAACAUUGACAACAUGCAAAUUUGAAUUUUCAUUAAAUAAACAUCUGAAUUUUGAAAUUUUGAUACAUGAGAAUUCAUAAUACAUAACCUAUGGAACAUGAAAACUCAUAAUGCAUAAGUCUAGAUAUUCUAGAAGGCAUGAUACAUAAGCUUUUGGCACACAACUAUAGAAAGUUUCAUUGCCUUGAUACAUAACUUAAAACUCUUAAUUUGGCACAAAUUCUUGAAUAUUUUGACUCAAUGAAACAUAAGAGAAAGGGGGAGUAAAGCUAAAACAGAUUUGGCAUCAAUUUGAUUAUGAUAGGGGAGCUCUUGAUUCUUUGAUACGUACUCCAAAAUUUGAUUAUUUUGAAAAUCUUGAACCAAAAGCAUCUUAUGAUGUUAAAUCAAAUCUUUCUUAUGAAUGGCAAAUCGACAAUAAGUAAUGUUUUGUAAUCAUCAAAAAGGGGGAGAUUGAGAAUCAUAAUGUUAUUUUGAUGUUUACAAAACCAUGAAGGCCAUAUGGAAGUGCUAAUGCUAUUAACAAACUUAAUCAAGUAAAUAGACACUCAAGGAAGAGAGAAGUGAUACAUUCUCGAUACAUCCUACAAUCCUGAUACAUUUAUGAUAUACUCCUACAAUCUAAUUUUCAGUUUGACCAAACUAAGGAUGAAGUUUUCUUCAUAAGGGGUAUUUUCGUAUUUUUGUUAGUUAAAAAAAUGAAACUUGAAUGUGCCAUUCAUCCUAAUUUAAUUGGAAUAUCUUUUUAUUUCUUUAAUAUGUUAAACUAACUUUCAAGUGCAGAAAAAUAAGUUUGGAGUCGACCCUGAUACAUUUGGCGUGACUUGGCACAAUGUGGCACACCCUUGAAACACUUGGCACAGAAGAAAUGAAGUCGACCCUGGCACAAUUUGGCACAUUCUGGUAUAAAAGGCACAGAGCUUGGGUCGACCCUAAGAAACCAUGAGUCGACCCCAGCCAAAAGAGCUAGAAAAACAAGUCUCUGAAAUUUCGGAGAGGGCCGACCCCACUGUAGCUUGAGUUGACCCCAGGAAAGCAUGAGUCGACCCAGCCUAAAGAGUCAGAAAAGCAAGUCUCUGGAAUCCUGAGAGGGCUGACCCUAGAUAAGCUUGAGUCGACCCCAUUGUAGCUCGAGUCGACCCCAGCCCAAAAUGACAAAAAAAACAAGCUUCUGAAAUUCCUGAGAGGGCCGACCCCAGCCAAGCUUGAGUCGACCCCACUGUAGCUGGAGCCGACCCCAAGUAAACAUCAGCCGACCCAAGUCUGUGGAAUAGUAACUUGGGUCGAUCCUAAAUUUGCUCAGGUCGACUACAGCACGACUGACAGCAUAACGGCUAGUUCUAGAGAAGUACAAUUUGAGUCUCCAACGGCUAGAAACGGCUAGUUUCUCCAUUCCAAUAGUUAGGGAGUGACUAUUUGAGGUUGGAGAAGUAUUUAAGAGGUACUAUUCAUCAGGGGAAAGCAUCUUAUGCAAAAAUCAAGAGUGUAUUCAAGAGAAAAGAAAGUUCAAGUGUUCUUCAUCAAUUUGCUUCAUUCAAAUUCUGAAAAAAAGUGGUGAGCAGUCUUCAAGUGCAUUCAAGAGCUCUACCAACUUCUUGAGGAGUGAAGCAACAUUGGCAAAGAAGAGAAGAGCAAUCUACAAAGCGAUAAAUAUUUUCUUACCUCUUCUUUAAGUGCAUUAUUGUAUUACUUGCUCAUUUAGGAGCUUUAAACUUCUUCCCUACUUGUUUCUUGUAAGGUUUGUUAGUGAGCCCAAAAAACUAAUAGUGUAGGUUGUUGGUGAGCCCGUAAAACCAAUGAUU